Molecule: ribosomal RNA, 689 nt
Filed under: Fictibacillus sp.
Lineage: Bacteria; Bacillati; Bacillota; Bacilli; Caryophanales; Fictibacillaceae
Description: bacterial SSU rRNA
Rfam family: Bacterial small subunit ribosomal RNA
Source: RNAcentral
CGUGGGGAGCAAACAGGAUUAGAUACCCUGGUAGUCCACGCCGUAAACGAUGAGUGCUAGGUGUUGGGGGGUUCCACCCUCAGUGCUGAAGUUAACACAUUAAGCACUCCGCCUGGGGAGUACGACCGCAAGGUUGAAACUCAAAGGAAUUGACGGGGGCCCGCACAAGCAGUGGAGCAUGUGGUUUAAUUCGAAGCAACGCGAAGAACCUUACCAGGUCUUGACAUCCUUUGACCACUCUAGAGAUAGAGCUUUCCCCUUCGGGGGACAAAGUGACAGGUGGUGCAUGGUUGUCGUCAGCUCGUGUCGUGAGAUGUUGGGUUAAGUCCCGCAACGAGCGCAACCCUUGACCUUAGUUGCCAGCAUUCAGUUGGGCACUCUAAGGUGACUGCCGGUGACAAACCGGAGGAAGGUGGGGAUGACGUCAAAUCAUCAUGCCCCUUAUGACCUGGGCUACACACGUGCUACAAUGGAUGAUACAAAGGGUUGCGAAGCCGCGAGGCCAAGCCAAUCCCAAAAAGUCAUUCUCAGUUCGGAUUGUAGGCUGCAACUCGCCUACAUGAAGCCGGAAUUGCUAGUAAUCGCGGAUCAGCAUGCCGCGGUGAAUACGUUCCCGGGCCUUGUACACACCGCCCGUCACACCACGAGAGUUUGUAACACCCGAAGUCGGUGGGGUAACCCUUUUGGAG